AAUGAACGUUGGCGGCGUGGAUUAGGCAUGCAAGUCGAGCGAGAACCGUAGCAAUACGGGGACAGCGGCGAAAGGGACAGUAAUGUGUAGGUACCUACCCCGAGGUCUGGGAUAGCUGCGGGAAACUGCAGGUAAUACCGGAUAAUGUCUUCGGACCAAAGGUGUGAUUCCACCUUGGGAGGGGCCCACAUCCUAGUAGCGAGUUGGCGGGGUAACGGCCCACCAAGGCGACGCUGGGUAGCGGGUGUGGGAGCACGACCCGCGUCAUUGGGACUGAGACAAUGCCCAGACACCUACGGGUGGCUGCAGUCGAGGGUCUUCGGCAAUGGGCGCAAGCCUGACCGAGCGACGCCGCGUGCGGGAUGAAGGCCUUCGGGUUGUAAACCGCUGUCGUAGGGGAGGAAAUGCAGGUGGGUUCUCCCUCCUGUUUGACCUAUCCUAGGAGGAAGUACGGGCUAAGUUCGUGCCAGCCGCCGCGGUAA
Molecule: ribosomal RNA, 482 nt
Filed under: uncultured bacterium
Lineage: Bacteria
Description: partial 16S ribosomal RNA
Rfam family: Bacterial small subunit ribosomal RNA
Source: RNAcentral